Molecule: ribosomal RNA, 446 nt
Filed under: uncultured bacterium
Lineage: Bacteria
Description: bacterial SSU rRNA
Rfam family: Bacterial small subunit ribosomal RNA
Source: RNAcentral
CACCAGACUCCUACGGGAGGCAGCAGUGGGGAAUAUUGCACAAUGGGGGAAACCCUGAUGCAGCGACGCCGCGUGAGUGAAGAAGUAUUUCGGUAUGUAAAGCUCUAUCAGCAGGGAAGAAAAUGACGGUACCUGACUAAGAAGCCCCGGCUAACUACGUGCCAGCAGCCGCGGUAAUACGUAGGGGGCAAGCGUUAUCCGGAUUUACUGGGUGUAAAGGGAGCGUAGACGGCAUGGCAAGUCAGAUGUGAAAGCCCGGGGCUCAACCCCGGGACUGCAUUUGAAACUGUUUCCCUUGAGUGUCGGAGAGGUAAUCGGAAUUCCUUGUGUAGCGGUGAAAUGCGUAGAUAUAAGGAAGAACACCAGUGGCGAAGGCGGAUUACUGGACGAUAACUGACGAUGAGGCGCGAAAGCGUGGGGAGCAAACAGGAUUAGAUACCCGCGUA